Molecule: long non-coding RNA, 390 nt
Filed under: Anas platyrhynchos platyrhynchos (common mallard)
Lineage: Eukaryota; Metazoa; Chordata; Aves; Anseriformes; Anatidae
Description: lncRNA (ENSAPLG00000026738.1)
Source: RNAcentral
CAGAGUGGUUACUGACACAAGAAUACUCUACCUAAGUGCACAAGUUUCUCCCUUGAAAAAAAAACAACUGUAAUUGUCACCGUUCAUUUACAAGACCUAGGAGAUCCCUCCUCUGGUGAGGAUCAAAAGGAAGACGGUCCUUGGUCAGUAAUAUCUGGAACAUUUAUGCACAUAUUCACUUUCCUAUUGCACCGUGGAUGCAUCCCUACUUAAUUCAUGAUGAACUAUGUAAAGUACUUAUUGACCACUGCAGGGAAGGAAUUGAACAGAGAAGAGAUCUGCAGCUCAUGAAGAUGGCAAUGAUCUGAUCUUUUGUCAUACUUUACAUGAAGCAUUUCCUGUUCUGACCUUCGAGCUUAGCAACAGCUUCUCAAAAGCAUUUAUAAAGUU